AUUGAACGCUGGCGGCAGGCUUAACACAUGCAAGUCGAGCGAGCGGCGGACGGGUGAGUAAUGUCUGGGAAACUGCCUGAUGGAGGGGGAUAACUACUGGAAACGGUAGCUAAUACCGCAUAAUAUCGGAUGAACCCAUAUGGGAUUAGCUAGUAGGUGGGGUAAAGGCUCACCUAGGCGACGAUCUCUGGCUGGUCUGCGAGGAUGAUCAGCCUCACUGGGACGUAGACACGGCCCAGACUCCUACGUGAGGCAGCAGUGGGGAAUAUUGCACAAUGGGCGCAAGCCUGAUGCAGCCAUGCCGCGUGUAUUAAGAAGGCCUUAGGGUUGUCAAGUACUUUCAGCGGGGAGGCGUUACCCGCAGAAGAAGCACCGGCUAACUCCGUGCCAGCAGCCGCGGUAAUAC
RNAcentral lists this ribosomal RNA (406 nucleotides) under uncultured bacterium. Its description in RNAcentral is "partial 16S ribosomal RNA". It matches the Rfam family "Bacterial small subunit ribosomal RNA", at positions 30 to 526 of the family's 1533-position model. The record is from RNAcentral.